CGAGUCUUUUAAUAUAAGCUGAUUUAUGAAUUACAGGUGAUUCAACUAUACGGGGUGACUGUAGCUUUUCGAGGUGCGUUGGAUUCUCAGCGAUAGGCGAUGGAAUGGAUGGAUGGCUUUGCGUCAGCUCUUGGUUCGAUUCGGUUGCCAAUGAGCCUGUUUACAAUAUCCCAGGCAUGGGAAAGUGACACCAGCCAACGGAAGAACCUGAAACGAACGGAAAUUCUAUCCAGCCGAAUACCACGAACCUUUGAGCGCAAAAAAGGUGCAUUACAGCACUGGUACAGAGAGAUACAGCCGACGACGGUGACACGGAAUACACACGAAAUGGAAAAACGAGCAUUCAUCAACAACGGAAAAAAGCAAGAGAAUUGCUAAUUGAAAUGUGAUACAGUGCAAAUAAACUUGCAAAACAUCUCCCGACACGUCGGGUAUAUUCCUGCGCAAGAGAGCGACAAAAAAGAUCAUAAACAUGCAAGAAAAUAAAACUGCAAAGCGGCA
Aedes aegypti (yellow fever mosquito) is the source of this 501-nucleotide long non-coding RNA. RefSeq lists it as uncharacterized. The record is from RefSeq and is a predicted model, not a curated record. NCBI's taxonomy places the organism in Eukaryota, Metazoa, Arthropoda, Insecta, Diptera, Culicidae. The transcript is spliced from 2 exons.